Non-coding RNA from Malus domestica (apple), 1828 nucleotides. NCBI's taxonomy places the organism in Eukaryota, Viridiplantae, Streptophyta, Magnoliopsida, Rosales, Rosaceae. The record is from RefSeq and is a predicted model, not a curated record.
GUUCAGUUUAUGCGUCGAAUAGGUUUUCGUUGGUUUACCAUUUGCUUUACCUUUUGUGUGUCGGCAAUCUCUGCUUAUCUCCAUCUUGGUAUCGCCUUCAUUUCGUCUGAAAUCCUGUGUUUUUCGUCUUGCAAAAUAUUCAUCGCAAAGAUCGUCGUAUUCUUUUUUUUUUGGGGAGUUUGUUUGGGUUCUCUGUUUUGGGACAAGUUUUGCAUCUCUGUAAAUCGUUUCUCCCCAAUUGUCAUCGGCUUUCCGACCAAUUUUUGGUGCGGUCUGGGUGCGAUCUUUGUUCAGAUCAUCGUAUUUGAACGAAACCCUAACAGUUUGAUUUGAACGAAACCCUUAUAUGAGAGUUGUUAUUUCGAAUUUGCAUUGAUUUGAACGAAACCCUAACAGUUUGAUUUUUUGCUGAGUUGUGGCAGUUUGUCCAGGCUUUGUCGGCUAAGAGCGGAUUUUGCGUUUGGUUUACUCCGCUGAUAAAUCUGAGAUUUAACAGGAGUUCGAAGGCUACUGUUGGUUUGGGUUUUCCAAGUGUACAAGGAGGUUGCUGGGUUGAGUUCGGUUACACAGAUAACGCUGCAGUAUACCAUACAAAGGUUUUUUUUCCUUUCCCUUUGCCCCUUUUUUGGGAUAUUGAUUACAAAAUCUGUUUUGAGCAUAGGUGUGAAAUUUGCAGUAGGGGUUAGUAAGUUAAUUAGUUAAUUUCAUUCUCAAUGUGCACAAAUGUUGUUCCUGCAUUAAUUCAUUUUCUUUGUAUCGAAAUUGAAUAAAUUUAAUUCUCCUUGAUAUCCACUUAUUUUGCUAAGAUAUGCAAUACAAAUAUCUGCUAUCUCCUACCUGUAAACGUAUGACUUAAAAUCAUUUCAUUGACAAACUGUGCCCAUGGUCUUGAUUUAUUUUUGAAAAGUUGUUUCUGAUUUUAGUUGUUAAAGUCAGUAAUCAAUUCUGCUUAGAUUUUUUGGUAGCGUAAGUGCGUCUACACUCAUCCCUAAUCUUGCAUACACAGUGCAUCUCUGUCACAUUGGUGAACUAUGGUAUUGUUUGUUUUAAUUAAGAGCCACCGAACUAGAUAUAUCUGAUCCAUCUUUUUUCGCGUAUCAUAUCACUUUUAAACCUGUUUGAUUGAAUUCUGCCAUUUACACCAAAAUACCUAAACAAUGACAUCAAAUUUUGAAGUAAAAAAUCUAAUAACUUUACUAAUUUUCAGUUUCAUUCAAUGACACUUCCUUUUCAAUUACUUUAAUUUUAACAUAUUUCACUUUCUUUAGAUUUGUAUUUAUGUUGUUUCUCUCAUGCUCUAUCACAAUAUAUCAGUUACUUUAAAUUUAGUUCUAAACGUUUUCAACAUAGAUGAUCUUACAAAACUCACUGCUGUACUUAUCUAAUUUUUAAGUUUUCAGUAUUUUUAAUGAAUAGUUUGGUAUUUAGGCAGCUUCGAUCUUUGAUUUCAAAUAUGUGAUUUUGUCUAAUUCUUUAUGAUCCUCAAUUUCUAUUGUCGUAAUGGACAUUUUUGAAUCACAUUGGUUAACACCAAACAAAUGGUAUGUGUCAUAUUUCUCUUUUUCUAUUCCUUUACUUUUAUACAGAGUUUUGUUUGAAUGCCAUCAUUUUCACAAGCCCUUAUACACCCUUGAUUCAAACUUCAUCAUUCUUCCCUUGUACACCCUUGAUUCAAACUUCAUCAUUCUUUAAAUAUCUGUAUAUAUUAUGCUCACACGUUUUGUAAUCCUGCAGCAACGCACGGGCACUAUUUCUAGUGUUUACUAAACCUAACUUCAAGGUUUACUAGGUCCAGACCCAAAAAAAAAAAAAAAAAAAAAAAAAAAAA